This 465-nucleotide ribosomal RNA is filed under the name uncultured bacterium. RNAcentral describes it as "bacterial SSU rRNA". It matches the Rfam family "Bacterial small subunit ribosomal RNA", at positions 28 to 487 of the family's 1533-position model. The record is from RNAcentral.
GAUGAACGCUAGCGGCAGGCUUAACACAUGCAAGUCGAGGGGCAGCGUGGAGCAGCAAUGCUCUGACGGCGACCGGCGGAAGGGUGCGUAACACGUGAGCGACUUGCCCGUCACAGGGGGAUAACCGGCGGAAACGGCGACUAAUACCCCAUAUGAUGCGAUGCUGCAUGGCAUUGCAUUGAAAGAUUCAUCGGUGGCGGAUAGGCUCGCGGGACAUUAGCUAGACGGCGGGGCAACGGCCCACCGUGGCGACGAUGUCUAGGGGUUCUGAGAGGAAGGCCCCCCACACUGGGACUGAGACACGGCCCAGACUCCUACGGGAGGCAGCAGUGAGGAAUAUUGGUCAAUGGGCGGAAGCCUGAACCAGCCAUGCCGCGUGAAGGACUAAGGCCCUACGGGUCGUAAACUUCUUUAGACGCAGAGCAAUAAGGUCCACGCGUGGACCGAUGAGAGUAUGCGUAGAAU